This 574-nucleotide long non-coding RNA is filed under the name Homo sapiens (human). RNAcentral's name for it is "non-protein coding lnc-AGXT2-1:2". Lineage: Eukaryota; Metazoa; Chordata; Mammalia; Primates; Hominidae. The record is from RNAcentral.
ACUUCCUCCGCGGUUCCUCGGAGCCGCCUCGCUCCUCUUCAGGGACUUUGCUGAGAAGGGCUCUCGGGCGUCCAGACCCCACCGCAAAGGUGUUUGGCGAUCCGCCGAGAAGUUGUUGGCCCCAGGAGCAUCCCUCGGGGCCGAAUGCGCAGUGGACGAUGCCCCUUCUGACCCAACAGAUCCAAGACGAGGAUGAUCAGUACAGCCUUGUGGCCAGCCUUGACAACGUUAGGAAUCUCUCCACUAUCUUGAAAGCUAUUCAUUUCCGAGAACAUGCCACGUGUUUCGCAACUAAAAAUGGUAUCAAAGUAACAGUGGAAAAUGCAAAGUGUGUGCAAGCAAAUGCUUUUAUUCAGGUAUGGAAGUAGGCGCCUUUAAGCCUGUGCCAUAGAUACUCUAAAUGUAAUUUAAUGAAAUCGGAAGGUUUCAGUAGACAAAAUAACUUAAUAGUCAUAAUAACUUGUCAAUAGUCAUAAUAAAUAACUUAAUAAAUAAAUAAUAGUCUUAAGUUAGAGAACAAAACGUCAUUACUUGAAUUUUUUUUCUCUCCCGGUAACAAAUUCUUUUCCCAUCU